This 616-nucleotide long non-coding RNA is filed under the name Helianthus annuus (common sunflower). Lineage: Eukaryota; Viridiplantae; Streptophyta; Magnoliopsida; Asterales; Asteraceae. The record is from RNAcentral.
UAUAAAAGCUCUAUCUGUGAAGAACCACCUGCAAGUAACCCAUCCCACCGCCAUCUUCUCCGGCGUCGUUCCCGCAGCCUAACACCAUCACCCCUGCUAUCACUUUCAACUCGUCGCCUUUUCUUCUUUUCUGUGGACUAAUUCAAAAUCCACCACCACCACCACCAUUCGUUUUAACUCCACAACAACCAUCAGUCCAUCACCGUUACCUUUCUUCUCCACAGAUCUGUGGUGGCGGUGGUUUCAGGUGGUCGCGAACCAUUUACAGGGGGCGGUGGUCUUAGGAGUUCGGGAACCAUUUACAGAGAGACACUUAGAUCCACCGGAGACGAAUGGCCGGAAAGUAGUUUCAGAAGGUCUGGAACCAUUCCUAGGGGCGGUGACUGCCGGAAAGUGAAUUUUGAAAGUGACGAAUGGCCGAAAAGUCGAUUCAAGUAUUUGGGUUUUGAAUUUCUUCUGCAUUUAUGGAAGCUGGAGAGGCUCCGUUGAUGCUGAGUAUAUGAAACUUCAUAUUGGGUGGUAGUGGCGGAUCUAGGAUUCCGACCAAGCGGGAACGUUUUAUAAAUAGGCGGUAACGAAAUCGAAAAAACGUCAAAUUUUUCCAAAAUUUACACUA